This 320-nucleotide ribosomal RNA is filed under the name uncultured eukaryote. RNAcentral describes it as "partial 18S ribosomal RNA". It matches the Rfam family "Eukaryotic small subunit ribosomal RNA", at positions 1470 to 1796 of the family's 1831-position model. The record is from RNAcentral.
CCCCUAGAUGUUCUGGGCCGCACGCGAGCUACACUGAACAGUUCAACAAGUCUUAACCUUGGCCGAUAGGUCUGGGUAAUCUUUGAACGCUGUUCGUGAUUGGGAUAGACCUUUGCAAUUAUGGGUCUUCAACGAGGAAUUCCUAGUAAACGCAAGUCAUCAGCUUGCAUUGAUUACGUCCCUGCCCUUUGUACACACCGCCCGUCGCACCUACCGAUUGAAUGGUCCGGUGAAAUCUCGGGACGGCGGCUUGGUCGCUUGCGUCCGACUGCUGAAACUUGAUUAAACCAUAUCAUUUAGAGGAAGGUGAANUCGUANCA